This 83-nucleotide unclassified non-coding RNA is filed under the name Halpernia frigidisoli. Its description in RNAcentral is "Chryseobacterium frigidisoli Flavo-1 RNA". Lineage: Bacteria; Pseudomonadati; Bacteroidota; Flavobacteriia; Flavobacteriales; Weeksellaceae. The record is from RNAcentral.
AAUUUGCAGCCCGACUUGAGUGGAGCUCUUUUUUGUGGAGCGCAGCGGAAUAAAAAAAGCGGGAACGGAAGGCGGAAAAGCUG